RNAcentral lists this ribosomal RNA (1414 nucleotides) under Mammaliicoccus sciuri. RNAcentral's name for it is "bacterial SSU rRNA". It matches the Rfam family "Bacterial small subunit ribosomal RNA". The record is from RNAcentral. Lineage: Bacteria; Bacillati; Bacillota; Bacilli; Caryophanales; Staphylococcaceae.
UGCAAGUCGAGCGAACAGAUGAGAAGCUUGCUUCUCUGAUGUUAGCGGCGGACGGGUGAGUAACACGUGGGUAACCUACCUAUAAGACUGGGAUAACUCCGGGAAACCGGGGCUAAUACCGGAUAAUAUUUUGAACCGCAUGGUUCAAUAGUGAAAGACGGUUUCGGCUGUCACUUAUAGAUGGACCCGCGCCGUAUUAGCUAGUUGGUAAGGUAACGGCUUACCAAGGCGACGAUACGUAGCCGACCUGAGGGGUGAUCGGCCACACUGGAACUGAGACACGGUCCAGACUCCUACGGGAGGCAGCAGUAGGGAAUCUUCCGCAAUGGGCGAAAGCCUGACGGAGCAACGCCGCGUGAGUGAUGAAGGUCUUCGGAUCGUAAAACUCUGUUGUUAGGGAAGAACAAAUUUGUUAGUAACUGAACAAGUCUUGACGGUACCUAACCAGAAAGCCACGGCUAACUACGUGCCAGCAGCCGCGGUAAUACGUAGGUGGCAAGCGUUAUCCGGAAUUAUUGGGCGUAAAGCGCGCGUAGGCGGUUUCUUAAGUCUGAUGUGAAAGCCCACGGCUCAACCGUGGAGGGUCAUUGGAAACUGGGAAACUUGAGUGCAGAAGAGGAGAGUGGGAAUUCCAUGUGUAGCGGUGAAAUGCGCAGAGAUAUGGAGGAACACCAGUGGCGAAGGCGGCUCUCUGGUCUGUAACUGACGCUGAUGUGCGAAAGCGUGGGGAUCAAACAGGAUUAGAUACCCUGGUAGUCCACGCCGUAAACGAUGAGUGCUAAGUGUUAGGGGGUUUCCGCCCCUUAGUGCUGCAGCUAACGCAUUAAGCACUCCGCCUGGGGAGUACGACCGCAAGGUUGAAACUCAAAGAAUUGACGGGGACCCGCACAAGCGGUGGAGCAUGUGGUUUAAUUCGAAGCAACGCGAAGAACCUUACCAAAUCUUGACAUCCUUUGACCGCUCUAGAGAUAGAGUCUUCCCCUUCGGGGGACAAAGUGACAGGUGGUGCAUGGUUGUCGUCAGCUCGUGUCGUGAGAUGUUGGGUUAAGUCCCGCAACGAGCGCAACCCUUAAGCUUAGUUGCCAUCAUUAAGUUGGGCACUCUAGGUUGACUGCCGGUGACAAACCGGAGGAAGGUGGGGAUGACGUCAAAUCAUCAUGCCCCUUAUGAUUUGGGCUACACACGUGCUACAAUGGAUAAUACAAAGGGCAGCGAAUCCGCGAGGCCAAGCAAAUCCCAUAAAAUUAUUCUCAGUUCGGAUUGUAGUCUGCAACUCGACUACAUGAAGCUGGAAUCGCUAGUAAUCGUAGAUCAGCAUGCUACGGUGAAUACGUUCCCGGGUCUUGUACACACCGCCCGUCACACCACGAGAGUUUGUAACACCCGAAGCCGGUGGAGUAACCUUUUAGGAGCU